GAGGGUGUAGCUCAGGAGUAGAGCAUGUGCUUAGUGUGCAUGAAGUCCUGCGUUCAAUCCCCAGUACCUCCG
Molecule: transfer RNA, 72 nt
Filed under: Camelus bactrianus (Bactrian camel)
Lineage: Eukaryota; Metazoa; Chordata; Mammalia; Artiodactyla; Camelidae
Also listed under: 1 other name
Rfam family: tRNA
About the family: Transfer RNA (tRNA) molecules are approximately 80 nucleotides in length. Their secondary structure includes four short double-helical elements and three loops (D, anti-codon, and T loops).
Source: Rfam by way of RNAcentral